UCCCAAAGAAGAUGUGGACAUCCGAUGCUGUUCUCGGAGGGCAGGAUUUGCCAAGUCCGUGUAUGAAUGCGUGAGUGAAGCCAUAGAAAACAGCUGGCCCUUCCAUGAUGUUUCUGUACCAAACUGUCCAGCAUACUGGCACUGGAUAACGGGCAGCUUUUUCAAAAGAUGUGUGUGGCACUCUGAAGAAUCUGUCAAGAUGAAGUCUCUGCUUCUGCAAGCUCACAGUCUGCGGUCCUGAUCCUGUAACUUACUCUGCAUGGUCCUUUCCUCAUGGAAACCUAAGCAGUCAAGAGCAGGACAUUGUGACAGUGACCCAGGAAGGGAGAAGGGUGGUCACGCUUCCGAACAGGAGCCAUUUUGCAAACGAGGAAGGAGCAGCACCUACCCUACUCCUGAGCUGCCAGCUCUCUCCUGGGGUUCAAGAAAACCAGAAGGCAAACCCCCAAAGCUUUCUCCUUUUCCACGGUGACAUGACAGAACAAAAUGGGAUUUCCUUCGAAGCAGUAACAGGACAGGCUUUGCAGCAUUCUUACAAGGGUGAAUUUAGAUGCCAGAGAGUGGAAUUUCCAAAUGCAUUUCCCUUCCUACACCUUUUCUUUUUCAUCUCCAUAAAUCUGUGUCAGUUUUUAAAGAACCUAUUUUGGGGGAAGGGAGAGGAGACAGAACAAGUGAUGAGCUAUUCAGAGCUAGGAGAAGAGAUUCAUGCUGCCAGAGGUAAGAUUGUAGAAAAAUGUGUCAGUGUAGCAGAUGAUAGUUCUCCUCUCUUAAUGCCUCUCCUGAAGCAUCAAGGUAUACGUGUUUCUCAAAGGGGCUGUAUGUCUCAGAGGUAGUCUAUGAACUGCGUGUUGAAACGGUUGCCAUGGCAGUGACUGAGUGCACGUUAGAAAGCGUGAUUAGCCAGAGUUGGCCUAAAUUGCUGAAGGGAAGGAAAAAAGAGAGGAAAGAAAAAAAAAAAAAGGCCAAGGACUUUCUGUUAUUUCUAAUACAGAUCCAUCAGCAUCAGACCGUGCUGGGGAGAGGAAGCGGCGCUGAUGGAGAGGAGCGUGCGGGAGCACGCCCCAUGCCCCAGCCCCAGCACACGCUGCCAGGGGACCCGCGCCCCCCUACAAGGUGCCAUUAGUACAGACCAGUCCUGCUAGUGUCAAUUCAGUGAAAUGGUGCUUCUCCAGAGUCGGAGGUGAGGAGGCCAGGGCACCGCUCAGCUGCCAGUGACCCAGACAGGACGGUCACGGCGCUCGCCUGCCUGAUGCCUGGCACGGCCGCAUUAGAAAGUGAGGCUGGCCUGCAGAAGGGUUGCCAGGCUUGCCCCAAGUGACACAGAGGGCUGCUAGCCUGGGUGGGGUGUAAAUAGGUGAACUCCCUGUCCCUAGAGCCAUUCUGAUUCUUCUAGCCCAACUAACCUAUGUCUGCUUGAAGUGUACCUCGGAAAGGUAUCCCAUCUUCAUUUGGAGCCUGAGAACUGGAGAACACAGCCCUUUUGGUUAAUACAUUGCAGUGGUUAAUCACGCUUACUUGUUAAAAAAAAUAAUUGCACCUUAUAUCUGAUCUAAGUGUGUACGGUACUAGCAUUCAGCCUCUGGUGCAUGCUGUGUUUUUCUCUGCUAUAUUUAAAAAAAAAAAAAUCACUUCUUGAGAUCCUGUAGAUUUUUGCUGUGAAGGUUUCUUAUGCACUAUAGUCACUUUUGAGCUUGUUUUGAAGAAGCAGAAUUCUUUCUAUCCAAGGGUUUUCUUUUAGCUCUUCUCAGGGAAAAGUGGAAGACUAGGAGACUAAGGUGACAAUGUCUCAGUGCCAGGUCUGGAUGGAAAAACGUCCUCUCUAGAAGCUGUAGAGUGCCACAUUAGGGGGCCAGAUGCCCAGUGUAAAAUCAACAGAAGAGAUUAAUUCAAGCUGAGAGUAUGCAGGUAGGUGUUUGCAGGAGCAGAGCCUGUUAGCCUGAUUGUCUUCUCUCAUAGCUUUCUAAAAUACAGAAGUUUAAUUUACAUUAGCCUGGAGUGCUUCUGCUUCCUAGUCCUUUGAGUGAAGUAAGAUAUGAAUCUACUCGGGCCAAUCCAUAACAUUUGACCACUUACCAAGGAUAUUUUUCUCCCCUCCUGUCCUAAGGGACCUGUAGGUUCCUCCUUUAGGAGGAGUACAAACCAGCAGUAUGUACAUGUGGUUAAUGGGCGUCUUUUUUGGCUAGCAGAGCUGGGGCAAGAGAGAUCAUAUGGCCUGCACUUUAGGAGGAAGAAAAGAAAAGCCCACAAGACACCUAUUUGCCCUGCAUAUCAGGUUGGCUUUUGCCAUUAUUUGCAGGAGUCUCUUCCACUACUUGCACCUCCUAAAUCCCUGUCAUCCAGGUUUGAGAGCUGGGACUAUCUUCUUUGGCACCAAGUCAACAAUUCGUUUUUUAGCACCAGCAGCUACUCAUAUUUUACAUUAGUGUUCUUCUCUGUUCCUUUCAAGCAAUAAUCAUAAAUAUCAGCUUUCAUUCCUAGAGCACCUUUCAUCCCAGGGGCUCCCAAAGCACUUUCCAAGCUUAACAAGCUUAUUGUAGCGUACUCCUUUAGAAAGGGUGAAACUCGCUUCCCAUUAAAGCCUGAUUUGGGGAAGAAAAACCCCAAAUUAUAACGUCUUCAAUACACAAGGGAGCCUUUGCAGCUGUUAUUUACUGUACAUGUUCCCUUACCAAAAAGAUUGUUUCUUGCUCUUACAUCCCCCCCAUCUCCCCCAGCUUAAUCCAGCAGUGCUCAGUUACCCUGGGGGAGGAGUGCAAGUAAUGAGAGAUGAUUGUCCCCUGUGAUCUGAGGAAGUGCUUUUCUUCUGGAAUCCUAUUGCUGCCCUCAACAGUUUCUUUUGGCAACUCCAUUUCCAUCCAGUCUGUUUUCUCUUUAUCGGGGCAAAUGUCCUAGCGCAGAGUUGAAUCUCCCAUGGCUUUAGCCAGCAAAGUCACCAGCCACGGUUGGGCUGUGCUAAGGACCAUGCAAGAGACUCUAGUCCUCUUCAGGACAAAGUCAGCUGGCCUAAUCUAAGUCACAUUCCUCUGCAAUCAAAGCAAAACUGGUUGCUUUGCACUGAAAUGAAUCAUGACCUUUCAAAUGGUCCUUUAGUUGGCUCAUCUGUGAAAGUACUAAGCCUAGAAGGGAAGAUUGCUGCUGGUAAUUUCUGAAUGGAAGAAUUUGUUUCCUAAUAAAUCAUAUGGUCAGUUUUAGGGCAGCUCGAAUCUGAUCAGUGUCAAUUUGCUUUCAUUGGUUUCAGGAGGACUCAGUAUGGUGGGACCUAUCCAUCUCACGAUGCACAGAGCUUUCUUCCAUGCUGGCUGUGUGGAAAAGUGGUCUCUCCUCUGGCCCAGAUGAGGCACGCAAACUCCCGUUGCUUCUCCAAGGACACACCAAGAGCCUGUGGUAGAAGGGGGAACAAAAGCCCUAUCUCUGGUUCAGUGCUUCCACCACGCAAACAUAAUUUAUCAAUAUAGAUAGCUUUAGAUGAAAGAUACAUCAAAGCAUGUUUUUGGCUGCUGCCUUCAGAGGUAGUGCUAAAUUUCCUGGGGGAAUGCAAGCAGUGAGAUAUGAUCCAAGUAUCAAAAUCCCCAUCUUACUCUCCCUCCUCCUCGCUCACACUGGUCAGGUUCACAGGGAAGCCCUUCCUUGGGGUUGUUAUGUCAUCUGUUCCCAUCACUAGAUUUUGGUUCAGAAAUGCAUUUUUGUUCUUUUCCAACAAAACACUGCCUAUUCCAACACCAACUCUGAAGAUCUGUAAAUUGGCAAACGAUCCACAAAGAAUAAUGAACCAGCAGUUAGUGUUUACAUUGGCCACCUUGUGUAAGUGCCGAUAUUAGCACUUCUGAAAGGAUUCAUUCACCCCUGAAAAAAGGUUUGUACCUGUGAAUAAAAGCUUGCUUGGGAGGGCCUUUGUGCCACCUUUCCUCUACAAACAAAACUUAAAAACAUCUAGAGAUGGUUUUGCAAUGGAUAUUAAUGCAUACCUAUUAUUUCAAGAUGCAAAUAAGCCACUGAAAAUAUUCCAUGCCUAUUUGUGAUGGUGUAAUGAG
Long non-coding RNA from Egretta garzetta (little egret), 4031 nucleotides. RefSeq lists it as uncharacterized. NCBI's taxonomy places the organism in Eukaryota, Metazoa, Chordata, Aves, Pelecaniformes, Ardeidae. The transcript has 3 exons. The record is from RefSeq and is a predicted model, not a curated record.